CUGCAACUCGCCUGCAUGAAGUCGGAAUUGCUAGUAAUCGCGGAUCAGCAUGCCGCGGUGAAUACGUUCUCGGGCCUUGUACACACCGCCCGUCACACCAUGGGAGUCGGUAACACCCGAAGUCUGUAGCCUGACGCAAGAGGGCGCAGCCGAAGGUGGGAUUGAUGACUGGGGUGAAGUCGUAACAAGGUACC
This 194-nucleotide ribosomal RNA is filed under the name uncultured bacterium. Its description in RNAcentral is "partial 16S ribosomal RNA". It matches the Rfam family "Bacterial small subunit ribosomal RNA", at positions 1305 to 1500 of the family's 1533-position model. The record is from RNAcentral.